UACGUAGGGGGCAAGCGUUGUCCGGAAUCAUUGGGCGUAAAGAGCGUGUAGGCGGUCCGGUAAGUCGGCUGUGAAAGUCCAGGGCUCAACCCUGGGAUGCCGGUGGAUACUGUCGAGCUCGAGUCCGGAAGAGGCGAGUGGAAUUCCUGGUGUAGCGGUGAAAUGCGCAGAUAUCAGGAGGAACACCAAUGGCGAAGGCAGCUCGCUGGGACGGUACUGACGCUGAGACGCGAAAGCGUGGGGAGCAAACAGG
RNAcentral lists this ribosomal RNA (253 nucleotides) under uncultured bacterium. RNAcentral describes it as "partial 16S ribosomal RNA". It matches the Rfam family "Bacterial small subunit ribosomal RNA", at positions 524 to 776 of the family's 1533-position model. The record is from RNAcentral.